Long non-coding RNA from Mustela erminea (ermine), 172 nucleotides. RefSeq lists it as uncharacterized. The record is from RefSeq and is a predicted model, not a curated record. The transcript is spliced from 3 exons. Lineage: Eukaryota; Metazoa; Chordata; Mammalia; Carnivora; Mustelidae.
AUCUGGGGCUCGUAGGCAGUGGUGGCAUAGGGUGCUCAUGUGAUGAGCACGAGGUCACGUGUGGCCAGGGCGGAUAUUUUUUAGGCUGUCCAUACUGCUCCGGUGCCAUCUUAGGGGCGCGACCGGCGCCAUCUUGGGGGCGUGACCCCGACAAUUCUAAAUGUCUGAAUCA